This 683-nucleotide ribosomal RNA is filed under the name Cymatodera sp. UPSA 17010. RNAcentral describes it as "eukaryotic LSU rRNA". It matches the Rfam family "Eukaryotic large subunit ribosomal RNA", at positions 651 to 1284 of the family's 3401-position model. Lineage: Eukaryota; Metazoa; Arthropoda; Insecta; Coleoptera; Cleridae. The record is from RNAcentral.
GUCUUGAAACACGGACCAAGGAGUCUAGCAUGUGCGCGAGUCAUUGGGAACAACUAAACCUAAAGGCGCAAUGAAAGUGAAGGUCCGCCUCGCGCGGACCGAGGGAAGAUGGGCGGACGGGCCUCACACGCUCGCCCGUCCCGCACUCCCGGGGCGUCUCGUUCUCAUUGCGAGAAGAGGCGCACCAAGAGCGUACACGCUGGGACCCGAAAGAUGGUGAACUAUGCCUGGUCAGGACGAAGUCAGGGGAAACCCUGAUGGAGGUCCGUAGCGAUUCUGACGUGCAAAUCGAUCGUCGGAAUUGGGUAUAGGGGCGAAAGACUAAUCGAACCAUCUAGUAGCUGGUUCCCUCCGAAGUUUCCCUCAGGAUAGCUGGCGCUCGUCGCAUACGAGUCUCAUCCGGUAAAGCGAAUGAUUAGAGGCAUUGGGGUCGAAACGGCCUCAACCUAUUCUCAAACUUUAAAUGGGUGAGAUCUCCGGCUUGCUCGAACCACUGAAGCCGCGAGACACGGAUCAGAGUGCCAAGUGGGCCAUUUUUGGUAAGCAGAACUGGCGCUGUGGGAUGAACCAAACGUCGAGUUAAAGCGCCUAAAUCGACGCUUAUGGGAUACCAUGAAAGGCGUUGGUAACUUAAGACAGCAGGACGGUGGCCAUGGAAGUCGGAAUCCGCUAAGGAGUGUGUU